This 256-nucleotide ribosomal RNA is filed under the name uncultured bacterium. Its description in RNAcentral is "partial 16S ribosomal RNA". It matches the Rfam family "Bacterial small subunit ribosomal RNA", at positions 524 to 777 of the family's 1533-position model. The record is from RNAcentral.
UACGUAGGGUGCAAGCGUUGUCCGGAAUUAUUGGGCGUAAAGAGCUCGUAGGCGGUUUGUUGCGUCGGCUGUGAAAUCCCGAGGCUCAACCUCGGGUCUGCAGUCGAUACGAGCAAACUAGAGUGUUGCAGGGGAGACUGGAAUUCCUGGUGUAGCGGUGAAAUGCGUAGAGAUCAUGAGGAAGACCAGUGGCGAAGGCGGGUCUCUGGACAGUUCCUGACACUGAGACACGGAAGGCCCAGGGGAGCAAAACGGG